Non-coding RNA from Macaca mulatta (Rhesus monkey), 536 nucleotides. The record is from RefSeq and is a predicted model, not a curated record. Lineage: Eukaryota; Metazoa; Chordata; Mammalia; Primates; Cercopithecidae.
UGGGGGGCGUGUGGGGCUGCACUCCCUCACCGCCUCCACUCCCGCACCUUCUCCCCAAGGACCAAGCACUGGUCUAGCAGCUCGGCAUCGCCCCCUCCCAAGAAAAAGAAGGAAAAGAAAGGCGGCCACCGGAGAAGCUGGAAAAAGAGGAGACUGGAGUCCGAUGGCAGCUGUGGGAGCUCCUCUCCCCUCUGCAAGAAGAGUGUGAAGAAGCAUCACUGAGACAGGUACCCUUGUUGUCCCCACCCUGGGACCUCAUCUUCCUCCCGUGGGGCCCAGGGUCAGGGCUGUGGCCCUCCAUAGGUCUCCCCUGGGCCACCCCAGACAAGCUCAAGAGAACUCCUUUAUCGCGCUACAGGUCUGAUUCUGGGUCCUGGAGGAAAAGACAGCACAGGUGAGCAGCGAUUUGCAGAGGACAUGGUCAGUGGUCCCUUCAGGGACCAAAGCCCAAAGGAUGCAAUGAUGAGAGGGGGUUCUGAGGGUCCCAUCGGGCUCCAUCCUUCAGCUCCAGGGUUCCUUCCCAGAGGUUUUGCAUA